Dromaius novaehollandiae (emu) is the source of this 366-nucleotide long non-coding RNA. RefSeq lists it as uncharacterized. The record is from RefSeq and is a predicted model, not a curated record. The transcript has 2 exons. Lineage: Eukaryota; Metazoa; Chordata; Aves; Casuariiformes; Dromaiidae.
GCUGAAAAUGGAUUCAAAAUGAGAUGUUUUAUCUCCAGACCGUUGCGCACACUCGCAAAUUCAGGCCAGCCACCCUCCACCUAGACUGUUUUAUGAAGGCCGCCUUUUCUUCUCUCCUCUCCCCACCCUGCGCUCAGAUGCUCUUUAUCCACUUGCACACAAAUGGAAGAAGCGGAGGUCAUCGGGAGAGGAUGCCGGAUGCUUAUCCUCGAGAUGGUUCGGGGCAGCUGAACGGUGGAACCGCUGAUCUCGCCAGGAGUUUUAUUCCUGGUGCGUGAGGUUUUACAAGAGUUAAGAUCUCUGUUUCCGACUAACGAAGAAGAAAAUGAGUGUUAUGAGGGGAUUAAAUGGAAUCACUCUCUUUUA